UUCCAGCAGACAAGGAUUCAGACCACACAAUUCAGGAGCAAUAAGAUGGCUGGAGUGAACAACAAGUUUCCCUUGACUUUAGAAGAAAAAGAUCUCUAAAUCCUGGAGAUGAUUACAUGCUUUUCCUGAGGGCUGAGGAAAGAGGAGAAGCAGUUGGUUUGUUUUCAAUUAGCCACCCUCCUCCUUUUUCUAAGAAGAGGAAAGUCACUGCCAGGUCACAGGGCUCGGAGCCAGGGUCAGCAGAGGGGCUGGUCGGAGCACCUGAGCCAAGUGGGCUGAGACUCUGAUCCUGGAGUUUGAAUCUAAGAAGGAAGCAGGCAGCACUGGAGCAAUUACCCCACAGUGCCACGAUCCUUGUGAGCAUAGGAGCUACAGGAAACUCGAGGAGAGCAUCCAACCCAGUUUGGGAAGUUCAGCACCCUCUUCCACAGGUGAGGACAGAGAGCUCAGACAGGCUGAAAAUGUGUUCAAGCUUACAUGAUCUGCUGCAGAUUUUAUGGAAGAGAAAGAAGUCGACAGGGAGCAAAAGUUGUGUGUGAGGGAUAGUGGUCCUGGAGCUACUGUGUGGGAAGACAAUGGAUCUGUCCUGGACAAUUGCUGUCACUAGCCUGCAGCCAUCAACAUCAAGAAGUCAACACUUGUUCACAGCCUCAGUAUUCGUAAGGGUCUGUGUUGCCAAAGGAGGUCACAAUGAUCCCUCUAUCCCAACUGCCCUUUUGGUGGCAUCACUUUGCCAGUUGGUCUGUGACUUGCUUUGGCCAAUAAGUUACAGCAGAAAUUCUCCCUUAAGUUAUAGCUUCUAUUCUCUCUCUGUCUUGGGAGCCAGCUGCCUUGUUUAGAAGCUCAGACCAAGCUGCUUGUUGGUGAGGUCGCUCAGACAAAGGUCAGAGUGCAGGAGGCUUAAGGCACUGGGCGAGAGCCAGCAUCACGCCUAGACGACCGCCUGUGGCCAGCUCAGGGCCAGCUCAGUCACCCAAUGAUCCCUGUGGAGCAGAGAUGGAUCAUUCUGCAGAGCUUUGCCCAAAUUCCUGAGCCUCAGAAUCAACAGAAAGAACACAGUGGUGUUUUAAACCACUACGCUUUGGGAUGGUUUGUUACGCAGCAAUAGACAGCUGGCACAGGCCAUUGGCACAACCACUUUGUUGUGUAUUGUAUAGGCACAGUGGUACAUUUAAAAAUGCUUAUUAUCUUCCUUAAGGUAAUAGGUGAAGAGUCUUUAAUGAGAAUAAUC
Molecule: long non-coding RNA, 1231 nt
Filed under: Homo sapiens (human)
Lineage: Eukaryota; Metazoa; Chordata; Mammalia; Primates; Hominidae
Description: HSALNT0023422
Source: RNAcentral